GGGAAGCACAGCGCCCGCGUGCUGGAGGCGAGUGGGCUCUGUGUUGGGGAGGCUGGGGUCCCAAACCAGGGCAGGGGAAUGGUGGUCCUGCGUGGCUCGUGGACCUCUCUCAGGGAUUCCUCUCAGCAGCGGCUGGAAGAGCAAACCCACACCCAGUGGUCAUUGUAGGAACUUCACUUGAGCUGGUCUGCUUGUGAGCCUGUGGUUUGGAGAGGAGAAGACGCACUUCCCCAUGAGAAAAAGGUGGUCAUCCCCGUGGGCUCCACAGUUGAGGACACCGGCUCUCAGCUCCGCCCCCUCUCAGAAGCCUUCCUCACCUGGGGGUUCUGGGUGAAGGGAGCUCCCCAUCGGAGACUCACGUGGGAUUGUGUGUGGACCAUAGAGCCACAGAGCGUCACCUGGGAGCUGGGCGAAAUGUGCAACCUGUAGUCCCUCCCUCCUCAGACCUAUGAUUCACGAUCUGCGUUUUAGGAAGACACAUGAACUUAUUAGAUCCAGGCUUUAACUUCAGUUUCCUGUGUGACCUUUGAGAAGCCAUCUCUCCAAGUGCUUCCUUUGAAAGGGAAAAUCGAUGGGCACAAGCUGGGAUCAACUACAAGGAAAUUUGAGCAGCAGGAGAAGCUCAUUCUUCCAAGGUGCUUGGUGUUGCUAUUGCCCUAGUUUCUCAGAGAAGUAAACCCAGGCUCAGAGUAGUCUGGGGGUUUGUUGGAGGCCACAGAACCGGUUAGAAGAGGCAUGGAUUAGGAUGCAGGU
Molecule: long non-coding RNA, 753 nt
Organism: Piliocolobus tephrosceles (Ugandan red Colobus)
Lineage: Eukaryota; Metazoa; Chordata; Mammalia; Primates; Cercopithecidae
Exons: 5
Source: RefSeq, a predicted model, not a curated record